CAGUCGCCGCGGUAAUACGUAGGUGGCAAGCGUUGUCCGGAAUUAUUGGGCGUAAAGGGCUCGCAGGCGGUUUCUUAAGUCAGAUGUGAAAGCCCCCGGCUCAACCGGGGAGGGUCAUUGGAAACUGGGAAACUUGAGUGCAGAAGAGGAGAGUGGAAUUCCACGUGUAGCGGUGAAAUGCGUAGAGAUGUGGAGGAACACCAGUGGCGAAGACGACUCUCUGGUCUGUAACUGACGCUGAGGAGCGAAAGCGUGGGGAGCGAACAGGAUUAGAUACCCCCGUAGUCCCUGUCUCUUAUAC
RNAcentral lists this ribosomal RNA (301 nucleotides) under uncultured bacterium. Its description in RNAcentral is "partial 16S ribosomal RNA". It matches the Rfam family "Bacterial small subunit ribosomal RNA", at positions 509 to 807 of the family's 1533-position model. The record is from RNAcentral.